RNAcentral lists this ribosomal RNA (910 nucleotides) under uncultured bacterium. RNAcentral describes it as "bacterial SSU rRNA". It matches the Rfam family "Bacterial small subunit ribosomal RNA", at positions 33 to 925 of the family's 1533-position model. The record is from RNAcentral.
ACGCUGGCGGCGUGCCUAAUACAUGCAAGUAGAACGCUGAAGAGAGGAGCUUGCUCUUCUUGGAUGAGUUGCGAACGGGUGAGUAACGCGUAGGUAACCUGCCUUGUAGCGGGGGAUAACUAUUGGAAACGAUAGCUAAUACCGCAUAACAAUAGGUGACACAUGUCAUUUAUUUGAAAGGGGCAAUUGCUCCACUACAAGAUGGACCUGCGUUGUAUUAGCUAGUAGGUGAGGUAACGGCUCACCUAGGCGACGAUACAUAGCCGACCUGAGAGGGUGAUCGGCCACACUGGGACCGAGACACGGCCCAGACUCCUACGGGAGGCAGCAGUAGGGAAUCUUCGGCAAUGGGGGCAACCCUGACCGAGCAACGCCGCGUGAGUGAAGAAGGUUUUCGGAUCGUAAAGCUCUGUUGUAAGUCAAGAACAAGUGUGAGAGUGGAAAGUUCACACUGUGACGGUAGCUUACCAGAAAGGGACGGCUAACUACGUGCCAGCAGCCGCGGUAAUACGUAGGUCCCGAGCGUUGUCCGGAUUUAUUGGGCGUAAAGCGAGCGCAGGCGGUUUGAUAAGUCUGAAGUUAAAGGCUGUGGCUCAACCAUAGUUCGCUUUGGAAACUGUCAAACUUGAGUGCAGAAGGGGAGAGUGGAAUUCCAUGUGUAGCGGUGAAAUGCGUAGAUAUAUGGAGGAACACCGGUGGCGAAAGCGGCUCUCUGGUCUGUAACUGACGCUGAGGCUCGAAAGCGUGGGGAGCGAACAGGAUUAGAUACCCUGGUAGUCCACGCCGUAAACGAUGAGUGCUAGGUGUUGGAUCCUUUCCGGGAUUCAGUGCCGCAGCUAACGCAUUAAGCACUCCGCCUGGGGAGUACGACCGCAAGGUUGAAACUCAAAGGAAUUGACGGGGGCCCGCA